ACGAGGGGGGCGAGCGUUGUUCGGAAUUAUUGGGCGUAAAGGGUGCGUAGGCGGUUCGGUAAGUCUUGUGUGAAAUCUUCGGGCUCAACUCGAAGUCUGCACGAGAAACUGCCGGGCUUGAGUGUGGGAGAGGUGAGUGGAAUUCCGCGUGUAGCAGUGAAAUGCGUAGAGAUGCGGAGGAACACCGAUGGCGAAGGCAGCCCCCUGGGCUGACACUGACGCUGAGGCACGAAAGCGUGGGGAGCAAACAGGA
This 253-nucleotide ribosomal RNA is filed under the name uncultured prokaryote. RNAcentral's name for it is "partial 16S ribosomal RNA". It matches the Rfam family "Bacterial small subunit ribosomal RNA", at positions 525 to 777 of the family's 1533-position model. The record is from RNAcentral.